AAAGAAGCAGGGAAGAGAAGAGUACCCGUGCAGGAAUGGCAAAGAGAGCUCCCAGUGGUGAGAAGGAGCACAGGAAAGCAUGGAGAAGAUGGCCUCUGAGCUUGAUAUGCUGAAUGGUGAAGCAGUCCGGGAGUCUCCCGUUACAGAGACAGGGUAUCAAGGCAUGGCCGGCGUACCUGUGAGGUCUUUCCGGUGACGGAAAGAUGAAAUUGGGUGGUAACACGAGGAUCUCGUCCCUUAG
Molecule: non-coding RNA, 241 nt
Filed under: Dialister succinatiphilus
Lineage: Bacteria; Bacillati; Bacillota; Negativicutes; Veillonellales; Veillonellaceae
Description: T-box sequence
Rfam family: T-box leader
About the family: Uncharged tRNA acts as the effector for transcription antitermination of genes in the T-box leader family. T-boxes are found upstream of many aminoacyl-tRNA synthetase genes and some amino acid biosynthetic genes usually in Gram-positive bacteria.
Source: RNAcentral